RNAcentral lists this ribosomal RNA (473 nucleotides) under uncultured organism. RNAcentral's name for it is "partial 16S ribosomal RNA". It matches the Rfam family "Bacterial small subunit ribosomal RNA", at positions 335 to 799 of the family's 1533-position model. The record is from RNAcentral.
ACUCCUACGGGAGGCAGCAGUGGGGAAUUUUGGACAAUGGGCGAAAGCCUGAUCCAGCAAUGCCGCGUGUGUGAAGAAGGCCUUCGGGUUGUAAAGCACUUUUGUCCGGAAAGAAAUCCUUGGCUCUAAUACAGUCGGGGGAUGACGGUACCGGAAGAAUAAGCACCGGCUAACUACGUGCCAGCAGCCGCGGUAAUACGUAGGGUGCGAGCGUUAAUCGGAAUUACUGGGCGUAAAGCGUGCGCAGGCGGUUUGCUAAGACCGAUGUGGAAUCCCCGGGCUCAACCUGGGAACUGCAUUGGUGACUGGCAGGCUAGAGUAUGGCAGAGGGGGGUAGAAUUCCACGUGUAGCAGUGAAAUGCGUAGAGAUGUGGAGGAAUACCGAUGGCGAAGGCAGCCCCCUGGGCCAAUACUGACGCUCAUGCACGAAAGCGUGGGGAGCAAACAGGAUUAGAAACCCUUGUAGUCCCAUG